AAAUAUAUUGUUAUAACCCGGCGCAUAUCAAUGUUUCCCUCACAUAUUCAAUCGUUGAUUAGGGUUUCUCUUCUACUCCUCCUUUCUUUCAAUUUGAAGGUUUUAAAUAUGCAAUCUGUUCCUUCAAGGUGAGCUUCAAGUUAACUUACCUGAUAUAUAAUUGGUGAUUAGAAGUAAUGCAAGGAUUUAUUAGCAAGCAAAUAAUGCAAAGAUUGAUUAGCAACCUCAUUAUACUUUCAAAAAAGGUGUUACAACUUAGGGUUAGUACUGAGAAAGAUGUGGACACGACAGAGUCAAUGUGGGAGAUACAACAUCAACAUGUUGCUGAUAAUAUUUAAGCCAUCUACGAUGACAUGGGUGGAUUACUUUUAAAGGCACAUCAAAAUUCUUUUUGUUUGUAGAGGGAAAAGCAACAUCCCAGAUGUAUCUAACUCUCUUAGUCUAUCCAUUAAUUUGUUUGCAGGAGGUAAAGUUGAUAUACAAAAUAAGAAAACUUGAAUAGCAACAAACCAAGAGAUCAAUCUUGGAAUUUACCUAAAAGAUGAAAAGGGUGAGCUUUCGAUUUUAGUAGAUAGAUCCGUUGGUGGGUCCAAUACUCUUGAUGAGGAAUUGGAGUUGAUGCUCCACGGGUACAUCUUUCAUUGAUAAUGUCAUUAGUUUUCAUAAAUUGUACUUACAUAUAUAACUUUCAAGCUAAUAAAUUGUGCUUUAUGUUGUGCAUUAUGAGAAAUUAGCGACAUACUGUAUUUUGAAACUUACCACCAGCAUGAUGCCUUUUGUAGUUAGCUAGCUUUUUAUGUAUGAUAAAAGAUUGUCUACUGCAGAAUUUUAACCAAAAUUCUGCAAUUUUAAUGGUCAAAAAAUUGCACUUUUUAAGGGUUAAAAAGCAGCAUCGUUUGUUUCAAAUUUAUGCAUUUUUUUUGGACAAAAAACUGCAUUUUUAUGGGUCAAAAAGUGAACUUUUAAGGGUUAAAAAACUGCACUUUUAGGGGUUAAAAAUGCAGCAUUUGUUUCAAAAUUCUACACUUUUUGGGUUAAAACUGUACUUUUAGGGGUUAAAAAACCGCAGCGUUUGUUCCAACAAGAAACAGACUCAGUGGAGUAGAAACAAUCACGCGUGGGAUUGCUAGAGUGCAUAAAAACAAGGAACAUGCUGAAGUCGAAUUCAGUGUCCGUUCCAUACAUAUAGGUGAUGGAGUUGGGAAAGAAAUUGCAACAAAGAUCAUAAGCACCAUAAAAACAGUUCACACUAACUCUAACGGUUGAGAUUUCAUUGAACGGGAUCAAUCUUGGAAUUUACCUAAAAGAUGAAAAGGU
Molecule: long non-coding RNA, 1317 nt
Filed under: Helianthus annuus (common sunflower)
Lineage: Eukaryota; Viridiplantae; Streptophyta; Magnoliopsida; Asterales; Asteraceae
Source: RNAcentral